Long non-coding RNA from Helianthus annuus (common sunflower), 1043 nucleotides. RefSeq lists it as uncharacterized. Lineage: Eukaryota; Viridiplantae; Streptophyta; Magnoliopsida; Asterales; Asteraceae. The record is from RefSeq and is a predicted model, not a curated record. The transcript has 2 exons.
CCUCUCACUCUCUUCUCUCUCUCUAACAACAAUAUUAGAUGGUCUGUUUGUUUUCCGUCGACAAUGGUGAACCAGAGAACGACGGACGGCGGCAGUGGUUAGCUCCGGCCGUUUGGUGAUGAAGAUGAUGAGUUGGAGCUGGCCGACGGCGGCAACGAUUCGGGCAUUAUAGACAUCAGCUGCGUGACGGAUCGGUUCGGGUCAAGUCUUAUCUCGGUCAAACCGAGUCAACUCGGGUCAGCGAUUAGUCAAACGGUCAGCCCCUGUUCGGGAGUCACGGUUCAGAUCUCGAUUAGUCAAACGUACACACCCUCUCGAUCCUCCUCAAAUCUCUCGGGCAUCCCUAGCUUCUUUUUUCUUCCGAAUUCCGGCCCUGUGUUGUUAGAAUACGUUGAAUGUAUCUAACUUGCAUGCAAUGUCUUCCAACUGAUCGCUGUAUACUCCCCUAUGCGAGCCCGAACUCCCAACUGAAGGCGAUGGCGUACCCGAUCUUGAUUUUUGAGCGCGCCUUUUUGCGGCAUCUCUUCCGUUUUCUGGCCGGUUUGGCGAAUCAUCCACAAAGUCCUCCAACUCUUGAUCUCGUGCAUCCGAUUGGGCUUGUGACUUCUCUUCUUGAUGGGUUUGGAUGCGGAAGGACCAUCGAUGGUGGGUUGAGUUUCGGGGACGGUUUCGGUUUGGGAAAGGUUGAUGGACGUUUGUGAAAGGUUGAUGGGCGUUUGUGGAAUCGGGCUAGGUAUAGAAUCGUCGGUGUGAGGGAAGUUAGUAUACACACGAUUCGAGAGAAACGAUGCGUAACCCGCCAUAUCGGGCAUAGUGGAGUGUAUUAAAAAGGGAGCAAUUGAAUGAUUGGGUGGUGGGCUAGGAUUUUCUUGUAAUGCCCACGGGUUGUUCGGUCAAAACCACGAUUAUGAGGAUUCAUUUUUCGUAUUGUGGUUGGAUGAGAAUUUUUUUUUAAAAAUAAGAUAGAGAUGAUUAUAGAAGAGGUGGAGUAGUUGUGAUAAAAAAAUGAAUAGAAAUGUGAGUUUUUAUAGUUAAAAAAUCAA